Mastomys coucha (southern multimammate mouse) is the source of this 136-nucleotide long non-coding RNA. RefSeq lists it as uncharacterized. The record is from RefSeq and is a predicted model, not a curated record. Lineage: Eukaryota; Metazoa; Chordata; Mammalia; Rodentia; Muridae. The transcript is spliced from 2 exons.
GAUUGGAAUGCCUUAGUCUAUCUUCUCCAAGUAGCUGAGACUUAGUAACUUGAUAUACUCCAACACUUCUCCCUUGAGGAACAUGGGGAUGCAAUUCAACUUUUCUUAAUAAAAACUGCUUAACAAUGAACCUAAA